RNAcentral lists this ribosomal RNA (410 nucleotides) under uncultured bacterium. RNAcentral's name for it is "bacterial SSU rRNA". It matches the Rfam family "Bacterial small subunit ribosomal RNA", at positions 29 to 483 of the family's 1533-position model. The record is from RNAcentral.
AACGAACGCUGGCGGCAUGCCUAACACAUGCAAGUCGAACGAGACCUUCGGGUCUAGUGGCGCACGGGUGCGUAACGCGUGGGAAUCUGCCCUUGGGUUCGGAAUAACUUCGGGAAACUGAAGCUAAUACCGGAUGAUGACGUAAGUCCAAAGAUUUAUCGCCCAAGGAUGAGCCCGCGUAGGAUUAGCUAGUUGGUGAGGUAAAGGCUCACCAAGGCGACGAUCCUUAGCUGGUCUGAGAGGAUGAUCAGCCACACUGGGACUGAGACACGGCCCAGACUCCUACGGGAGGCAGCAGUGGGGAAUAUUGGACAAUGGGCGAAAGCCUGAUCCAGCAAUGCCGCGUGAGUGAUGAAGGCCUUAGGGUUGUAAAGCUCUUUUACCCGGGACUGAUAAUGACAGUACCGGGA